RNAcentral lists this ribosomal RNA (429 nucleotides) under uncultured bacterium. Its description in RNAcentral is "bacterial SSU rRNA". It matches the Rfam family "Bacterial small subunit ribosomal RNA", at positions 355 to 801 of the family's 1533-position model. The record is from RNAcentral.
UGGGGAAUCUUGGACAAUGGGCGAAAGCCUGAUCCAGCCAUGCCGCGUGAGUGACGAAGGCCUUAGGGUUGUAAAACUCUUUCGUCGGGGACGAUAAUGACGGUACCCGAAGAAGAAGCUCCGGCUAACUUCGUGCCAGCAACCGCGGUAAUACGAAGGGAGCUAGCGUUGUUCGGAAUCACUGGGCGUAAAGCGCGUGUAGGCGGGUCGUUAAGUUGGGGGUGAAAUCCCGAGGCUCAACCUCGGAACUGCCUUCAAAACUGGCGACCUGGACCUAAGUAGAGGCAAGUGGAAUUGCGAGUGUAGAGGUGAAAUUCGUAGAUAUUCGCAGGAACACCAGUGGCGAAGGCGACUUGCUGGACUUAUGGUGACGCUGAGGCGCGAAAGCGUGGGGAGCAAACAGGAUUAGAUACCCCAGUAGUCCCUGAG